ACUAGUUAAUUGUUCUUUCCCCAUUUCCCUGUGCUUGUGAGCUGUCGAGACAGGAACGGAAAUCCCCAUCGUGUCGUCGUCCUCCUCCCGCAGGCAUCUCUUCCUCCUGCUGGCUGCGACCCCGCGGCUCCCCACGAUUCCUUCGCUUCCAGCUCGAGGCCAAGCUCUGCUCUCUCUCUCUCUCCUCCCUCCGAUCCAUUCCCCGUGUUUUCAUUUCUUCCCAAGAGAAAGGGAGGCAUGGAGUCCGAUCCCAACAGUAAUCAGGAGCAGCAGCACCGCAUCUUGUUGCCUAGUGAUACUGAUAGUGCAACAGCAACAGAAGCAGCAGCAAAGGCCGACCACGGCGAACAAGAUGCCGAUCUCGAUCUGGAUCCCGUUGUGAUUGAAGGAGAAGAGGUCAAGGUGGAGAAGAAGAGGAGUAGCCGGAAAGUGCGGUUCAACGACUGCAGCCUCACCCAGGUCCUCGAGUUCCAGCCAAGCACCCAGGAGGACGCCAUUUCCCUGUGUGCCCAGCUUUGCACUUGGCUCUGUGGACAGAGGCCAGAAACAUAGGCAUGCAUGCCUGCUUCAAGGAGAAGAGGUCAAGGUGGAGAAGACAAGGAGUAUAUGCUUGUGUUGAUUCUUGGAGUUCACUCAUAUGGCAACAGCAAGAAGCCGGAAUUUAGCUGAAUGAGGGAUGGAGGGAUGGUCAGAGAUACAAAGAAACAUGCAUGGAUGUGUAUAUGUAUGGUCGCUCCAUUUCCUCGCAGGCAUCCAGCUAAUGCCUUUGCCUCAGUUUUGGUGGUCAGUGUAACUCCAUCUUGGCAAGUUUUUGUGUGAUUCAUUUACUCUGCUUCAACUUGAGUAACUAAUUCUUCUAUCAGAACGGAAGAUGACACCAAAAGCGCCUUCAAUAAUAGAAAAAUAUAAGGAAACUUCCUCAAAUUUGAUGGUAGUGGCCAAAGGAGAUGGUGGUCAAACCAUGGGCAAAGAGGAAGAGAUUGAGGGAGGCACUCCUCGUACAAUAGAUGCCAGGAAUGUUUCAUGCCAGUGUACAUCUUACAAGCCCUGUUUUGACAUGAGCAUUGCUGGCAGUCCAUGUCCGGCCCCACGCGAGGUCAGGUGAUCUGCAGCUACCAAUAUGAUAGUGGAGCUUCACAGAAAGGCAGAGGAUAAAGAACAGCAGGAUACCUGAUGCAAAUAUGCCUGGUUAAACUCCCAAAGUUGGGAACCUGCAGGCCGCAAACCAGUAGUAGUUACUGAACUCUGUUAAAAACAUAAUCGUCUUGGUGCCUUGUCUAGCUAUUUUACCUUCUGACAGGUUGCCUGCUCGUGGCUGUUGUAAGGUCAUUGUAAACCCCAGACUGUUAUUUUGAUAAUCUUCUGAUUUUGAAAAUUCUGUGGCACUGCAGCUGCAAAUCAAUUUUGUGAUGUGAGUGAACACAAGCUGUUUCUGGA
RNA transcript from Lolium rigidum, 1437 nucleotides. RefSeq lists it as uncharacterized. The record is from RefSeq and is a predicted model, not a curated record. The transcript is spliced from 5 exons. Lineage: Eukaryota; Viridiplantae; Streptophyta; Magnoliopsida; Poales; Poaceae.